RNAcentral lists this ribosomal RNA (372 nucleotides) under uncultured organism. Its description in RNAcentral is "bacterial SSU rRNA". It matches the Rfam family "Bacterial small subunit ribosomal RNA", at positions 526 to 896 of the family's 1533-position model. The record is from RNAcentral.
CGUAGGAGGCGAGCGUUAUCCGGAUUCACUGGGCGUAAAGCGCGUGCAGGUGGCGCGGUAAGUUAGGCGUGAAAUCUCCCGGCUCAACUGGGAGAGGUCGUCUAAUACUACCGUGCUUGAGAGCAGAAGAGGAAGAUGGAAUUCCCGGUGUAGUGGUGAAAUGCGUAGAUAUCGGGAGGAACACCAGUGGCGAAGGCGAUCUUCUGGUCUGUUUCUGACACUCAGACGCGACAGCUAGGGUAGUAAACGGGAUUAGAGACCCCGGUAAUCCUAGCCGUAAACGAUGUGAACUUGGCGUUGGUGGGUUAAACUCCAUCAGUGCCGAAGCAAACGCGAUAAGUUCACCGCCUGGGGACUACGGCCGCAAGGUUA